GACUAACGCUGACGGUAUGCCUUAUACAUGCAAGUCGAACGGUAAGGUCUCUUCGGAGAUACACGAGUGGCGGACGGGUGAGUAACGCGUAGGAAUAUGCCCUUUAGUGGGGACAACCAAGAGAAAUUUUGGCUAAUACCCCAUAUGCAGUGAUGUGAAAGAUUUAUCGCUAAAGGAGUAGCCUGCGUUUGAUUAGCUUGUUGGUGGGUAAAAGCCUACCAAGGCGACGAUCAAUAGCUGGUUUGAGAGGAUGACCAGCCACAAUGGGACUGAGAUACGGCCCAUACUCCUACGGGAGGCAGCAGUAGGGAAUUUUGCGCAAUGGGGGAAACCCUGACGCAGCAAUACCGUGUGCGGGAAGACGCUCCGUGGAGUGUAAACCGCUGUCAGAUGGGACGAAUAAAUGACUGUACCAUCAAAGAAGGACCGGCUAACUCUGUGCC
RNAcentral lists this ribosomal RNA (443 nucleotides) under uncultured bacterium. Its description in RNAcentral is "bacterial SSU rRNA". It matches the Rfam family "Bacterial small subunit ribosomal RNA", at positions 28 to 509 of the family's 1533-position model. The record is from RNAcentral.